GGAACUGAAGGUCAAGGGAAAACUGGAUUCAGGAAGUAGCUAACUUCUGAGGAGUUGCAGAAGAGCUGAGUAGGGUUUGGGAGAAUUCUCGGGAAGAUACACCCCCUACUGAUCCGGGACCGGAGGAGCGAGUCCAGUCGCAACAAACUGCUGAGACGCACAGUCUCCGUGCCGGUGGAGGGGCGGCCCCA
RNAcentral lists this small RNA (191 nucleotides) under Pan troglodytes (chimpanzee). RNAcentral describes it as "processed transcript". The record is from RNAcentral. Lineage: Eukaryota; Metazoa; Chordata; Mammalia; Primates; Hominidae.